GGCCCUUCGGGGUACUCGAGUGGCGAACGGGUGAGUAACACGUGGGUGAUCUGCCCUGCACUUCGGGAUAAGCCUGGGAAACUGGGUCUAAUACCGGCUAGGACUACGGCCUUCAUGGGUUGUGGUGGAAAGCUUUUGCGGUGUGGGAUGGGCCCGCGGCCUAUCAGCUUGUUGGUGGGGUAAUGGCCUACCAAGGCGACGACGGGUAGCCGGCCUGAGAGGGUGUCCGGCCACACUGGGACUGAGAUACGGCCCAGACUCCUACGGGAGGCAGCAGUGGGGAAUAUUGCACAAUGGGCGCAAGCCUGAUGCAGCGACGCCGCGUGAGGGAUGACGGCCUUCGGGUUGUAAACCUCUUUCAGCAGGGACGAAGCGCAAGUGACGGUACCUGUAGAAGAAGGACCGGCCAACUACGUGCCAGCAGCCGCGGUAAUACGUAGGGUCCGAGCGUUGUCCGGAAUUACUGGGCGUAAAGAGCUCGUAGGUGGUUUGUCGCGUUGUUCGUGAAAACUCACAGCUUAACUGUGGGCGUGCGGGCGAUACGGGCAGACUUGAGUACUGCAGGGGAGACUGGAAUUCCUGGUGUAGCGGUGGAAUGCGCAGAUAUCAGGAGGAACACCGGUGGCGAAGGCGGGUCUCUGGGCAGUAACUGACGCUGAGGAGCGAAAGCGUGGGGAGCGAACAGGAUUAGAUACCCUGGUAGUCCACGCCGUAAACGGUGGGUACUAGGUGUGGGUUUCCUUCCUUGGGAUCCGUGCCGUAGCUAACGCAUUAAGUACCCCGCCUGGGGAGUACGGCCGCAAGGCUAAAACUCAAAGAAAUUGACGGGGGCCCGCACAAGCGGCGGAGCAUGUGGAUUAAUUCGAUGCAACGCGAAGAACCUUACCUGGGUUUGACAUGCACAGGACGUGCCUAGAGAUAGGUAUUCCCUUGUGGCCUGUGUGCAGGUGGUGCAUGGCUGUCGUCAGCUCGUGUCGUGAGAUGUUGGGUUAAGUCCCGCAACGAGCGCAACCCUUAUCUUAUGUUGCCAGCGCGUAAUGGCGGGGACUCGUGAGAGACUGCCGGGGUCAACUCGGAGGAAGGUGGGGAUGACGUCAAGUCAUCAUGCCCCUUAUGUCCAGGGCUUCACACAUGCUACAAUGGCCGGUACAAAGGGCUGCGAUGCCGUGAGGUGGAGCGAAUCCUUUCAAAGCCGGUCUCAGUUCGGAUCGGGGUCUGCAACUCGACCCCGUGAAGUCGGAGUCGCUAGUAAUCGCAGAUCAGCAACGCUGCGGUGAAUACGUUCCCGGGCCUUGUACACACCGCCCGUCACGUCAUGAAAGUCGGUAACACCCGAAGCCGGUGGCCUAACCCCU
Molecule: ribosomal RNA, 1355 nt
Filed under: Mycobacterium sp.
Lineage: Bacteria; Bacillati; Actinomycetota; Actinomycetes; Mycobacteriales; Mycobacteriaceae
Description: bacterial SSU rRNA
Rfam family: Bacterial small subunit ribosomal RNA
Source: RNAcentral